This 734-nucleotide unclassified non-coding RNA is filed under the name Hevea brasiliensis (rubber tree). The record is from RNAcentral. Lineage: Eukaryota; Viridiplantae; Streptophyta; Magnoliopsida; Malpighiales; Euphorbiaceae.
AAGGAAUCUGGCGAAAUGAAGAAACAAUCCAGCAGUUACGUUCCUGUUAGCACAGGCUUCAGACUACAACUUGUUUCUUGACAGAUGCAAAUGCUACAAGUGGAUGGAUACUCCGUUAAUACAGAGAUGCUGGUGUUUAAGGUAUGCUUGCGCACGUGUAAGAGGUAGGGAGUACAAGGAUUUACCCACCAUAUGCAAUUAUUACUGAAGUUGAUCAUUCAUUCCGUGCAGUCUUUGGUUUGUCACUUAAGGUCACCAUAGAUCUGAGGACACCUGGACUAACCGUAUCAGCAAGAACUCCUUUAUCUGAUAUCCAUAAAGACUUCUCCUUUACAAUGCUCUGAAGUUUAUUAGCUUCGUAAUCGAGUAGAGUUUGAUCUUUCUCCAGAAUGGUAUGAGCAGCAUGGAAAGGAAUAUUGGCAAAUACAUCAGUUCCUGGGAACAUGACCCAAGUCUUCUCCUUUGAAUCAUGAUUACCACACGUUGAACAAAUCUCUUUCACCAACGGUCUUGAUUCAACAUUCCUCAUUAUUGAGUCAAAAGGAGUAGGAAUGCUACUUUUUGUCGUCUUAGCCCUCCUCCUUAGUGCAGUUAAUGCUUCCCUGUUCCCAUUCCUCACUCUAUCAUUUUCAACUAACUGUUGCCGAGCUAAUAGAAGACUUUCACCUUCGAUUUCAACCUCAAUAAGCUUUUCUUGUAUUUGCUUCAUCGAGUCAUCCAUUUGAUCUCUGGAC